UAGGGAAUCUUCCACAAUGGGCGAAAGCCUGAUGGAGCAACGCCGCGUGUGUGAUAAAGGGUUUCGGCUCGUAAAACACUGUUGUAAGAGAAGAAUGACAUUGAGAGUAACUGUUCAAUGUGUGACGGUAUCUUACCAGAAAGGAACGGCUAAAUACGUGUCAG
RNAcentral lists this ribosomal RNA (164 nucleotides) under uncultured bacterium. RNAcentral's name for it is "partial 16S rRNA". It matches the Rfam family "Bacterial small subunit ribosomal RNA", at positions 355 to 511 of the family's 1533-position model. The record is from RNAcentral.